This 468-nucleotide ribosomal RNA is filed under the name uncultured bacterium. RNAcentral's name for it is "partial 16S ribosomal RNA". It matches the Rfam family "Bacterial small subunit ribosomal RNA", at positions 28 to 507 of the family's 1533-position model. The record is from RNAcentral.
GACGAACGCUGGCGGCGUGCUUAACACAUGCAAGUCGAACGGAAAGGCCCUGCUUUUGUGGGGUGCUCGAGUGGCGAACGGGUGAGUAACACGUGAGUAACCUGCCCUUGACUUUGGGAUAACUUCAGGAAACUGGGGCUACUACCGGAUAUGAGCUCCUGCUGCAUGGUGGGGGUUGGAAAGUUUCGGCGGUUGGGGAUGGACUCGCGGCUUAUCAGCUUGUUGGUGGGGUAGUGGCUUACCAAGUCUUUGACGGCUAGUCGGCCUGAGAGGGUGACCGGCCACAUUGGGACUGAGAUACGGACCAGACUCCUACGGGAGGCAGCAGUGGGGAAUAUUGCACAAUGGUCGGAAGCCUGAUGCAGCAACGCCGCGGUCGGGAUGACGGCCUUCGGGUUGUAAACCGCUUUCGCCUGUGACGAAGCGUGAGUGACGGUAAUGGGUAAAGAAGCACCGGCUAACUACGUG